GCAGGCAUAUCGAAGUGGUCAUAACGAGGCGGUCUUGAAAACCGUUUGCCCUAAAGGCACGGGGGUUCGAAUCCCUCUGCCUGCGCCA
This 88-nucleotide transfer RNA is filed under the name Oscillospiraceae bacterium. RNAcentral describes it as "tRNA-Ser". It matches the Rfam family "tRNA". Rfam says of the family: Transfer RNA (tRNA) molecules are approximately 80 nucleotides in length. The record is from RNAcentral. Lineage: Bacteria; Bacillati; Bacillota; Clostridia; Eubacteriales; Oscillospiraceae.